AGUAAAGUCAGCUAAAUUAAGCUAUCGGGCCCAUACCCCGAAUAUGUUGGCUAAACCCCCUCCUCUACUA
This 70-nucleotide transfer RNA is filed under the name Luetkenotyphlus brasiliensis. RNAcentral's name for it is "tRNA-Met". Lineage: Eukaryota; Metazoa; Chordata; Amphibia; Gymnophiona; Siphonopidae. The record is from RNAcentral.